GACGAACGCUGGCGGCGUGCCUAAUACAUGCAAGUCGAACGCAGGGGGGACGGGUGAGUAACACGUGGGUAACCUCCCAUCAGAGGGGAUAACACUUGGAUAAAGGUGCUAAACCGAUACUGAUGGAUGGACCCGCGGUGCAUUAGCUAGUUGGUGAGGUAACGGCUCACCAAGGCGACGAUGCAUAGCAGACCUGAGCGGGUGAUCGGCAACACUGGGACUGAGACACGGCCCAGACUCCUACGGGAGGCAGCAGUAGGGAAUCUUCGGCAAUGGACGAAAGUCUGACAGAGCAACGCCGCGUGAGUGAAGAAGGUUUUCGGAUCGUAAAACUCUGUUGUUAGAGAAGCGGUAUCUAACCAGAAAGCAACGGCUAACUACGUGCCAGCAGCCGCGGUAAUAC
This 403-nucleotide ribosomal RNA is filed under the name uncultured bacterium. RNAcentral describes it as "partial 16S ribosomal RNA". It matches the Rfam family "Bacterial small subunit ribosomal RNA", at positions 28 to 526 of the family's 1533-position model. The record is from RNAcentral.